ACUGAUGAACAUGGUUCUAAAAGGAGCUGAGAACAGCAGAACGUUCUCAGUUCUGGACCUAUGGACUGGAUCUAUCUAUGUCUGCAUCAUGGAUCCACAUGGAGAAGAACUGAACAGAGGAAGAGAAACAUCUGAGGAGUCACAGCUCCACUAAUCAGGAGGUCUAGAAGGAGUCACAGUUCCACUAAUCAGGAGGUCUAGAAGGAGUCAUAGUUCCACUAAUCAGGAGGUCUAGAAGGAGUCAUAGUUCCACUAAUCAGGAGGUCUAGAAGGAGUCAUAGUUCCACUAAUCAGGAGGUCUAGAAGGAGUCAUAGUUCCACUAAUCAGGAGGUCCAGAAGGAGUCAUAGUUCCACUAAUCAGGAGGUCUAGAAGGAGUCACAGUUCCACUAAUCAGGAGGUCUAGAAGGAGUCAUAGUUCCACUAAUCAGGAGGUCUAGAAGGAGUCAUAGUUCCACUAAUCAGGAGGUCUAGAAGGAGUCAUAGUUCCACUAAUCAGGAGGUCUAGAAGGAGUCAUAGUUCCACUAAUCAGGAGGUCUAGAAGGAGUCAUAGUUCCACUAAUCAGGAGGUCCAGAAGGAGUCAUAGUUCCACUAAUCAGGAGGUCUAGAAGGAGUCAUAGUUCCACUAAUCAGGAGGUCUAGAAGGAGUCAUAGUUCCACUAAUCAGGAGGUCUAGAAGGAGUCAUAGUUCCACUAAUCAGGAGGUCUAGAAGGAGUCAUAGUACCACUAAUCAGGAGGUCUAGAAGGAGUCACAGUUCCACUAAUCAGGAGGUCUAGAAGGAGUCACAGUUCCACUAAUCAGGAGGUCUAGAAACAGUCAUAGUACCACUAAUCAGAGCUCCUAAAAUGACUCCACAGACAGUGAACUACUUUCUCCAUCCAGCUGUAAAAACAGACAUCAGCUGCUUCAGACUUGGUUCAGGGGUUCUCCAUGGAAACCAGUUAGUGUGAAGCUCAGACAGUGUGACGGAACCUUCAGAACAUCAACUUCUAUGGACGGAGGACCAGAACUAAACCUGAUUGCUGCUCAGAACUAAACUUCCAGAUGAAAGUUUGCUGAAGAACAUGAGAAGAAGCCUGAUGGAU
Molecule: long non-coding RNA, 1088 nt
Organism: Acanthochromis polyacanthus (spiny chromis)
Lineage: Eukaryota; Metazoa; Chordata; Actinopteri; Pomacentridae
Exons: 7
Source: RefSeq, a predicted model, not a curated record